This 73-nucleotide transfer RNA is filed under the name Dreissena polymorpha. It matches the Rfam family "tRNA". From Rfam's summary of the family: Transfer RNA (tRNA) molecules are approximately 80 nucleotides in length. Their secondary structure includes four short double-helical elements and three loops (D, anti-codon, and T loops). Further hydrogen bonds mediate the characteristic L-shaped molecular structure. tRNAs have two regions of fundamental functional importance: the anti-codon, which is responsible for specific mRNA codon recognition, and the 3' end, to which the tRNAs corresponding amino acid is attached (by aminoacyl-tRNA synthetases). tRNAs cope with the degeneracy of the genetic code in two manners: having more than one tRNA (with a specific anti-codon) for a particular amino acid; and 'wobble' base-pairing, i.e. permitting non-standard base-pairing at the 3rd anti-codon position. The record is from Rfam by way of RNAcentral. Lineage: Eukaryota; Metazoa; Mollusca; Bivalvia; Myida; Dreissenidae.
GUCAUUGUAGUUUAAUGGAAAAACGCAUCUUACUAUGUGAGAUAAGUUCUGGGUUCAAGUCCCAGCAGUGGCA